AUUUCCUCUUCACUUCUACCGUCUCUAAGCCAGCAACACACAAAAUGUCUACACAAACAUGAGGUUUGCAAAAAGUAGUGGACUCUAUACUGUGCAAAUCUGCCCUAGUUGUUCCACUGUAUAGCCUGUAUGUGCACAUAUGUGGAAGGACAAACAGUCACAGCGACACUCAUCUUCAUUUUUCUGCUCGGAGGUACAAGUCUGGCUUUAGCCUCUCAUGGUAGAGCCGCAAAGCUUCCACAAAGCCACAAAACUGCCGUUAGAGGGAUUUCUAUGGAUAAAAUGUGUUUUGUGGAUAAUGUUUCAGAGAGUUAUUGCGCUUACUGGGCCAUAAAACCAUACAAAAACACUUAGCAAAAUUUUAUACUGUAGCUCCUUUUAUGAUCCAUUUUAUACUUCAGUGCAAUCAAAUUGCCACUACAUGAUCAAUGGUGAAUUGAUCAACAAUGCGCCAUUCAUUCAAGGGUUUGUUUUACUGCCAGCAUUUUUAUCUAAGCACUGGCUGGCUUCCACUUGUAUCUAGAGUGCCUUGUUGUAGGAAACAGAGUGUGAGUUAAGGGAUAUAUAUACCUUCUUUGUUACAGUAAUUCACAGGGCCAGGAGGUCAGUGAUGUUUACUUGUAUCAAAGCCACUUACAUUUCCCGCCUCACCAUCUAUAUCUCCACUCUGUCUCUUUCCUCACACAUUUGCAGCCUCUGAGUCAUUUUCGACAGCAAACUCUCCUUCGAACACGGCGUCAAUCAAAUCACCAGAACUGUCUUUUUCCGACCUAAAAAACCUAGCUCGUCUCCGUCCGUCACUUUACUUAUCCGCUGCCUUCAUCGACUCCAGAAUUUACUACUGCAGCAGCGUUUUUUAUGGUACAUGAUCCAAAGUCCUAAAUAAACUCCAGUGCAUCCUCUUACUCUCGCUUCCAUGACCACAUCGCACUCAGAAGCUUCGCUGGCUUCCUGCCCCACAAGAGAUACAUUUCAAAGUUGCACUCUUAACUCUCAAAGCCCUCUAUAACUAGGCCACCUCCUGGUUUCUAGGUGGAUGUGGCUCAGGUGGCAGAGUGGAUUACCCACCAAUUACAAGGUAGGUUCCCCUGCAUGUGCUGAAAUGUUAUUGGGAAAGACACUGAACCUGAAGCUGCUCCCGAUGGCUUCUCCACCACCACAGGUGUGUCAGUGGGAAGUCCAUGGGCGUAACGGACACGGGGUACGCGUGGGACAUGUCCCCCGCACUUUCCACAUCUGUCCCCUCUGUCCCCCGCACUUUUUUCAGCCGUUACAACAGCUAAACCCGUUAUUAGCAUCCAGUAACGUGUUUUCCCGAGCCGUCUUUGAAUGCACCAUGAGCGCAUGCUAACGCAGGUGUUCCAGAGGAGACGUGCUGCUGUGCUGAGCAGUGCUGAACGUGCGUCUGGAGUAAUGUUUAGCAAACCAGCUAGAGCUAGCAAGAAGCAAAAAACUUUACACAGUUUUUUCCAAACAAACCGUGUAAGUUGUGUGACCUUGUUGGAUGCAAACAAUGUUAGACUUGUUAGCUAAAUGAUGACAAGGUAAAACGUGGCAAUAUAUCAAUAUGUUAAGCUAGUUAACAAUAAUUCAAAUGUGGUUGCCUCUGUUACAUUACUUGCUAAUUAGUUUAUUCUUGGAAUAAACCCAGUCCUCUUUCAUUUCUGGGCAGAAGAUGUGCUCACAAUUGCUCUCCAUGUAUUUAAGUCUUUUGGUCCCAAAAGAGGAGAGUCAGGGAGGAGAAAAAAGAAUAGGCUAUCUAUGGUAUAAAUUUACAACUAUUUUUUACUCCUUCUCUUUCUAAUUCUAUCUCAGAAUUUUGAUUUUCAGAUUUUUUAAUGAUUAUUUCCAUAACAAAGAGCAGAGUCAGGCAGGAGAUGGACCAAAGGCGGCGGCCAGCAGUAAUGUUGACCAUGCAGGGUCUGCAGAGGUGAAAAAAAUAUAUAUAAGUGGCUGAGAAAAAAAUAUGUAUCUAUGGGUUAAAGUGAUUUUGAGGUUAAAUUCUACUGCAAUUUUUACUCUUCCUAAUGCUAUUUCAGAAUUUUUCUUACCACAUUUUUUUUAUGUUUAUUGCCAUAACAGAAAGAGCAGAGUCAGGGAGGAGAUGGAUCAGAGGCCAGCAGCAGGGACAAGGAUGUAGGGUCUUUACAGUGUCCCUGGUCCCAGAGCUGGAUGCUUCAGAUCUGCGGUUGAUGUUCCACCAACUGGUCUAGUCUCCACCAUGUCCACUGUGGGAUGCUGCUGCUGACCUUCCUCCAGCCCUCCGCUUCCAGCUCCCCUUUUCCACCAGUCAACUCUACAUCGCCCUCACUAUACUUGUUAUGUUAAUCUACAUACUGUUUGAAUUUUACUGCUAGUUAUAUAUGUAGUAUAUUUAAUGUCAGAGCCGUAUAUCAUAAGAGUAAACUAUGAGUCAGUUUUCAAUGUUAGCUUACACUUUGUUUGUGUCACAUAUCUUGUCAUACAUGUAUCCAAAUGUGUGCUGUACUUUCCUUGCUUUCCCAGCCCUCCCUCUCCUCCCAUCCCUCCCCCUUGCCCUCCUCUGUCCCUCUCAACCCGCCCGACCAGCAUUCAGAUGGGUCCCCCCUAUAUAGAGCCGGGUUCUGCUCGAUGUUUUUCCCCUGUUAAAAGGGUGUUUUCCUUGCCUCUGUCGCCUUUGGGCUUGCUCUGGGGGUCAGGCAUAUGGGUUCUGUAAAGCGUCUUGAGACAAUUUGACUGUAAUUGAUGCUAUAUAAAUAAAAUUGAAUUGAAUUGA
Molecule: long non-coding RNA, 2755 nt
Organism: Acanthochromis polyacanthus (spiny chromis)
Lineage: Eukaryota; Metazoa; Chordata; Actinopteri; Pomacentridae
Exons: 2
Source: RefSeq, a predicted model, not a curated record